This 118-nucleotide ribosomal RNA is filed under the name Chinchilla lanigera (long-tailed chinchilla). Lineage: Eukaryota; Metazoa; Chordata; Mammalia; Rodentia; Chinchillidae. The record is from RNAcentral.
GUCUACGGACAUACCACCCUGAACACGUCCAAUCUCGUCUGAUCUCGGAAGCUAAGCAGUGUCGGGCCUGGUUAGUACUUGGACGGGAGACAGGGAAGAAUCUUAUUUAUCUUUAACA